GAGUUUGAUCAUGGCUCAGAUUGAACGCUAGCGGGAUGCCUUACACAUGCAAGUCGAACGGCAGCACGGACUUCGGUCUGGUGGCGAGUGGCGAACGGGUGAGUAAUGUAUCGGAACGUGCCUAGUAGCGGGGGGAUAACUACGCGAAAGCGUAGCUAAUACCGCAUACGCCUACGGGGAAAGGCAGGGGAUCGCAAGACCUUGCACUAUUAGAGCGGCCGAUAUCGGAUUAGCUAGUUGGUGGGGUAACGGCUCACCAAGGCGACGAUCCGUAGCUGGUUUGAGAGGACGACCAGCCACACUGGGACUGAGACACGGCCCAGACUCCUACGGGAGGCAGCAGUGGGGAAUUUUGGACAAUGGGGGAAACCCUGAUCCAGCCAUCCCGCGUGUGCGAUGAAGGCCUCGG
RNAcentral lists this ribosomal RNA (409 nucleotides) under uncultured microorganism. Its description in RNAcentral is "bacterial SSU rRNA". It matches the Rfam family "Bacterial small subunit ribosomal RNA", at positions 9 to 420 of the family's 1533-position model. The record is from RNAcentral.